CGGUCAAUCCUCCCAGGUCUCCGUCUGGGCGUUUCCUUGCUUCCGUCAGGUGGCUCUUCUGUAUCCUCACCCUCAUCACAUACCACCGCCAGCCUCACCGCCAUCUUCCUCACCGAGACACCGCCACCCACGACCUCCCUUCCGCGCACCUUCGACGAGAUGUCCCGCCAGACGAGGGUCAGUAUGGCGUGUACAAUCAAGUCUCACCCUCGAUUAGAGUACGAACUCCCAGCAGCCCAUGGUGAAGAGGGAUGUGGCGGAGCCAUGAACACCUUCCAACCAAGUGUCUUCGCCAUCACUAGGCACCAAGCAGGGGGCUGGACGGACUGAGGAGAGGGGGGUGGCAGAGUUUGCCCGCUAUCAUGGAGAGGGACCGUUAGCCGAGUUCGAAGCCGAAAAGAAGAACCAUGCGAUUUGGUUGUUCUUGGCAGCGAGUUGGACGAACAAGCGUAUGGGUUUGCGUGCAGGUGGGAAGGAGACACUCUGCGACCGGAUCGACCACAAGCUUCUCAGGAUGAGGGAAGAGGAGUUUCUCUACUAAGGUCAAGGAUCAAAUGGAUGUACAGCGGAUU
This is a long non-coding RNA of Haliotis rubra (blacklip abalone), 572 nucleotides long. RefSeq lists it as uncharacterized. The record is from RefSeq and is a predicted model, not a curated record. NCBI's taxonomy places the organism in Eukaryota, Metazoa, Mollusca, Gastropoda, Lepetellida, Haliotidae. The transcript has 3 exons.